GUGAGGAAUAUUGGUCAAUGGACGAGAGUCUGAACCAGCCAAGUCGCGUGAAGGAAGACGGUUCUAUGAAUUGUAAACUUCUUUUGUGCAGGAAUAAAGUGGGUUACGUGUAACCUUUUGUAUGUACUGUACGAAUAAGGAUCGACUAACUCCGUGCCAGCAGCCGCGGUAAUACGGAGGAUCCGAGCGUUAUCCGGAUUUAUUGGGUUUAAAGGGUGCGUAGGUGGAUUGAUAAGUCAGCGGUGAAAGUUUGCAGCUUAACUGUAAAAUUGCCGUUGAAACUGUCGGUCUUGAGUGCAAAUGAGGUAGGCGGAAUGUGUUGUGUAGCGGUGAAAUGCUUAGAUAUAACACAGAACUCCGAUUGCGAAGGCAGCUUACUGGGAUGCAACUGACACUGAUGCACGAAAGCGUGGGUAUCAAACAGGAUUAGAAACCCGGGUAGUCC
RNAcentral lists this ribosomal RNA (445 nucleotides) under uncultured bacterium. Its description in RNAcentral is "partial 16S ribosomal RNA". It matches the Rfam family "Bacterial small subunit ribosomal RNA", at positions 354 to 796 of the family's 1533-position model. The record is from RNAcentral.